AAAAUCCGUCGACUUUAGAAAUCGUGAGGGUUCAAGUCCCUCUAUCC
Molecule: transfer RNA, 47 nt
Filed under: Medicago sativa subsp. falcata (sickle medic)
Lineage: Eukaryota; Viridiplantae; Streptophyta; Magnoliopsida; Fabales; Fabaceae
Also listed under: 3 other names
Description: Medicago falcata (sickle medic) partial tRNA-Leu
Source: RNAcentral